RNAcentral lists this ribosomal RNA (467 nucleotides) under uncultured bacterium. Its description in RNAcentral is "partial 16S ribosomal RNA". It matches the Rfam family "Bacterial small subunit ribosomal RNA", at positions 28 to 507 of the family's 1533-position model. The record is from RNAcentral.
GAUGAACGCUGGCGGCGCGCCUAACACAUGCAAGUCGAACGAUUAAAGCACCUUCGGGUGUGUAUAAAGUGGCGAACGGCUGAGUAACACGUGGGCAACCUGCCCCUUUCAUUGGGAUAGCCACGGGAAACCGUGGAUAAUACCGAAUACUUCGAGACUUCCGCAUGGAAGACUCGAGAAAGCUCCGGCGGAGAGGGAUGGGCCCGCGGCCUGUUAGCUUGUUGGUGGGGUAACGGCCUACCAAGGCAAUGAUGGGUAGCUGGGUUGAGAGACCGACCAGCCAGAUUGGGACUGAGACACGGCCCAGACUCCUACGGGAGGCAGCAGUGGGGAAUCUUGCAAAAUGGGCGAAAGCCUGAUGCAGCGACGCCGCGUGCGGGAUGAAGGCCUUCGGGUUGUAAACCGCUUCCAGCAGGGACGAGGCGAAAGUGACGGUACCUGCAGAAGAAGCCCCGGCUAACUACGUG